This is a long non-coding RNA of Patiria miniata (bat star), 2130 nucleotides long. RefSeq lists it as uncharacterized. The record is from RefSeq and is a predicted model, not a curated record. NCBI's taxonomy places the organism in Eukaryota, Metazoa, Echinodermata, Asteroidea, Valvatida, Asterinidae. The transcript has 3 exons.
UGGGUACUUUCACAACGUUGUUGGUAUGUUGUCAAUCUCACGUUGUCAUGACGUUGUAGAUAAAAAUUUACACCACGUUGCUGUGUUCAUGACGUUAUGAUGACGUUGCAUAAAAGUCUCAUCAUAAUGUCGUUGUUAAGUUGUAAAUAUCAUGUUGUCGUGACAUUGCAUUUUGGUAUUUUCACAGCGUUGCUGCUAUGUUGUGAACCUCACGUUGCUGUUACGUUUUAUAAAGGUGUUUUGACACUGAAUUUAAGUUGUAAUUAUGCUGUGGGUUAUGAUCCAUGCUGUUGUGGUAUUGACAAAAACAUUGUGAUUACGAUUUACUGAAUGUGAAGUGAACAUAAUGUUUUAAUCAAUGAUGUUUUAUUUGAUAAUAAUUAACAUUUGGGUGCCGCCUUGCAUUAAUAAUGUAACUCAUGAAAUUUCGAACAUCAUCAUGUUUGUUUUGUCGUUGUAGGAAUAUAAUGUUUCCAUGUGUUUUUCUAAUGGUCCAAGAUGGAUGAGAUCGUGGUCAAAGCGCGACUGUUUCCCGCUCAUAUUCAUUGUUGUAUACUCAAUGUAUAUAUUUAUUGCACACACCAACGUAACUUGAAAUAUGAUUCCUGUUCUCAAAGAAAAUAUUACCAUGGCGCAUGCGCGUCAGCAGAAAUUCCACGUCCAGACCGCGUGAUAGCUUAUUUGAAUCGCUCUGCUCAGUCGAGUCAGCGAUCUAGCAGCAGCAGCUCACUAGUAUAACGGUCGCCGACUCGCCGUCCAGUUGAUGUGAAUUAGCCAUGAUCACCAAGCAAGUUAUUUUCACUACAGCAUUUCUUAGAAGGUAGGCAGUACAUACGUGAGUGCACUGGCUGCAGGAUGUGGCAAGUUUAAACUUUUAACUUCAGCAGUCUUCGAGGGAGGAAGUUUCUAAUUAUUUUGAAAACCACCCCGUACAUCUCUUCAAUGUUGUUGCUAUUCGUGUCUUUGGAGAAGUGCCAUAUUGACAACCUUGCUGAACAAGGAAUCCACUUACUUCUACAUCUGGAUAGUCUUCUAUGAAAGGUUCCAUUAAAUGAAUGUUACUCUAAAACAUAGAUUGGGCAAUUAGCCAAUGUGCAUGGAGGUAUUCAAAGAAAAUCAUGUUGAAAUGUCAAUAUUUUAAAAUGCAGGUUUUUUGCAAGUUCCCUGCAUACAAAUAUAUCUUCACCAACAAACGCUAUUCAAGUAUCCCUUUCAAGUGUUAUUCUUUUUCAUAGACUCUGUAGCUACAAAAAAACCAAAACAAUUCCUUUGAGUUUUCUUUUGAAGAUGUUCCAUGGGAGAGAACGAAAAUGAAGGAUUUAGAUAGAGGACAGAUUUAAAAAGCAUGUGAUUCAGUAGAUUAAAAGUUGUCGGAUCUAUUUUAUUUGUUCGAUGUGGAAGUCGCCUUCCUAUACUAUAUUUCUCAUCACGGACAGUGGAAAAUACUAAUGUUCAAAUACUAUUUGAAACCAUACUUUUGCUUGAAUGUACGUUACGUAUAGCACUGUGUAUUUUUCAUGAAUUGAUCCAAUACAUGAAUAGGUAUUCUCUAGUGUGGGUAACAUUGUGAUAUGGAGCCCCUUUAAAGGUGAUGUAUAAAACCGGUUAGUGGCUAGGUCGACGAUAAUAGCCCUUGCAUUCCGGCUCUGGCUAUAUUAUUGGUGACCAGACCCUUUAUCUUCUAAUUGCUCAGUAACAACGUUAUUGUCUUGUUAAAAGGUCGGUUCAUACUCUAUGAAGUUACGGCAAUUCACUUUGUGAAGUUACGGCAAUCAUUAACGCCAGCGCUAAAAAAUUGGGGGAAAAAAGAGUGAACCACAUUUUACUCUGGGCAAUUUUGAGUCAAAUGGUUUCGAUGUCAACAUAUCAAAAUUUGCUUUCACUUGAAGUAUGAACCGAUCGUUAGAGCUCAGCCCGGUCACUAAGGCGUGAAUUCCUUAUUGUGGAUUUAAGUAAAAGACUUUAAUUGUAUACCAUUCACGAAAUGGACACUGUAGUAAUAUGUGCAUAUUGAUCUGUCCAAAUAAUUGCAGUGAGUAUUAAUUACACUUACCGUUUUAGUGAUUGCAUUUUAGUAAUGUUUUUUCAUGCUGUUGUUUCUGAACACUGUUUGUAAUAAAAUUAGAGAAA